GACGAACGCUGGCGGCGUGCUUAACACAUGCAAGUCGAACGGAAAGGCCCUGCUUUUGUGGGGUGCUCGAGUGGCGAACGGGUGAGUAACACGUGAGUAACCUGCCCUUUACUUUGGGAUAACUUCAGGAAACUGGGGCUAAUACCGGAUAGGAGCUCCUGCUGCAUGGUGGGGGUUGGAAAGUUUCGGCGGUUGGGGAUGGACUCGCGGCUUAUCAGCUUGUUGGUGGGGUAGUGGCUUACCAAGGCUUUGACGGGUAGCCGGCCUGAGAGGGUGACCGGCGACAUUGGGACUGAGAGACGGCCCAGACUCCUACGGGAGGCAGCAGUGGGGAAUAUUGCACAAUGGGCGGAAGCCUGAUGCAGAAACGCCGCGUGCGGGAUGACGGCCUUCGGGUUGUAAACCGCUUUCGCCUGUGACGAAGCGUGAGUGACGGUAAUGGGUAAAGAAGCACCGGCUAACUACGUG
This 468-nucleotide ribosomal RNA is filed under the name uncultured bacterium. RNAcentral describes it as "partial 16S ribosomal RNA". It matches the Rfam family "Bacterial small subunit ribosomal RNA", at positions 28 to 507 of the family's 1533-position model. The record is from RNAcentral.